AGUGAACGCUGGCGGUAGGCCUAACACAUGCAAGUCGAACGGCAGCACAGUAAGAGCUUGCUCUUACGGGUGGCGAGUGGCGGACGGGUGGGGAAUACAUCGGAAUCUACUUUUUCGUGGGGGAUAACGUAGGGAAAAUUACGCUAAUACCGCAUACGACCUACGGGUGAAAGCAGGGGAUCUUUGGACCUUGCGCGAUUGAAUGAGCCGAUGUCGGAUUAGCUAGUUGGCGGGGUAAAGGCCCACCAAGGCGACGAUCCGUAGCUGGUCUGAGAGGAUGAUCAGCCACACUGGAACUGAGACACGGUCCAGACUCCUACGGGAGGCAGCAGUGGGGAAUAUUGGACAAUGGGCGCAAGCCUGAUCCAGCCAUACCGCGUGGGUGAAGAAGGCCUUCGGGUUGUAAAGCCCUUUUGUUGGGAAAGAAAAGCAGCAGGUUAAUACCCCGCUGUUCUGACGGUACCCAAAGAAUAAGCACCGGCUAACUUCGUG
RNAcentral lists this ribosomal RNA (492 nucleotides) under uncultured bacterium. RNAcentral's name for it is "partial 16S ribosomal RNA". It matches the Rfam family "Bacterial small subunit ribosomal RNA", at positions 29 to 507 of the family's 1533-position model. The record is from RNAcentral.